CCGCUGAACUUAAGCAUAUCAAUAAGCGGAGGAAAAGAAACCAACAGGGAUUGCCCUAGUAACGGCGAGUGAAGCGGCAACAGCUCAAAUUUGAAACCUGGCGCUUGCGUCCGGAUUGUAAUUUGUAGAGGAUGCUUCUGGGCAGCGGCCGUUCUAAGUUCCUUGGAACAGGACGUCAUAGAGGGUGAGAAUCCCGUAUGUGACCGGCGCGCACCCUCCACGUAGCUCCUUCGACGAGUCGAGUUGUUUGGGAAUGCAGCUCUAAAUGGGAGGUAAAUUUCUUCUAAAGCUAAAUAUUGGCCAGAGACCGAUAGCGCACAAGUAGAGUGAUCGAAAGAUGAAAAGCACUUUGGAAAGAGAGUUAAAAAGCACGUGAAAUUGUUGAAAGGGAAGCGCUUCCAACCAGACUCCGCGGCGGUGUUCCGCCGGUCUUCUGACCGGUCCACUCGCCGCCGUGGGGCCAACAUCGUCUGGGGCCGCCGGAUAAGACCGGAGGAAUGUAGCUCAUUGAGUGUUAUAGCCUCCGGUGAUGCGGCGCGUCCCGGGCGAGGUCCGCGCUUCGGCAAGGAUGUUGGCGUAAUGGUUGGCAGCGGCCCGUCUUGAAACACGGACCAAGGAGUCUAACAUCUAUGCGAGUGUUCGGGUGUCAAACCCCUACGCGCAAUGAAAGUGAACGGAGGUGGGAGCUUCGGCGCACCAUCGACCGAUCCUGAUGUCCUCGGAUGGAUUUGAGUAAGAGCAUAGCUGUUGGGACCCGAAAGAUGGUGAACUAUGCCUGAAUAGGGUGAAGCCAGAGGAAACUCUGGUGGAGGCUCGCAGCGGUUCUGACGUGCAAAUCGAUCGUCAAAUUUGGGUAUAGGGGCGAAAGACUAAUCGAACCAUCUAGUAGCUGGUUCCUGCAGA
This 903-nucleotide ribosomal RNA is filed under the name Zasmidium sp. ZJUM 41. Its description in RNAcentral is "eukaryotic LSU rRNA". It matches the Rfam family "Eukaryotic large subunit ribosomal RNA", at positions 25 to 964 of the family's 3401-position model. Lineage: Eukaryota; Fungi; Ascomycota; Dothideomycetes; Mycosphaerellales; Mycosphaerellaceae. The record is from RNAcentral.